This 618-nucleotide ribosomal RNA is filed under the name Rhodeus ocellatus. RNAcentral's name for it is "partial 16S ribosomal RNA". It matches the Rfam family "Bacterial large subunit ribosomal RNA", at positions 1796 to 2618 of the family's 2925-position model. Lineage: Eukaryota; Metazoa; Chordata; Actinopteri; Cypriniformes; Acheilognathidae. The record is from RNAcentral.
UCGCCUGUUUAUCAAAAACAUCGCCUCCUGCAACUUUAUAUGUAUAGGAGGUCCAGCCUGCCCAGUGACUACGGGUUCAACGGCCGCGGUAUUUUGACCGUGCAAAGGUAGCGCAAUCACUUGUCUUUUAAAUAAAGACCUGUAUGAAUGGCUAGACGAGGGCUUAGCUGUCUCCCCCUUCCAGUCAGUGAAAUUGAUCUAUCCGUGCAGAAGCGGAUAUACUCCUACAAGACGAGAAGACCCUUUGGAGCUUAAGGUACAAAGAUUAAUCAUGUUAAACAACUUGAUAAAGAGAUAAGAACUUAAUGAGACAUAAUCUUUUACCUUCGGUUGGGGCGACCACGGAGGAAAAACAAGCCUCCAAGAGGAACGGGUAUUUACCCUAAAGCUUAGAGAGACCUCUCUACGCCGCAGAACAUCUGACCAGUAAUGAUCCGGCAUAAAGCCGAUCAACGGACCAAGUUACCCUAGGGAUAACAGCGCAAUCCUCUCCCAGAGUCCAUAUCGACGAGGGGGUUUACGACCUCGAUGUUGGAUCAGGACAUCCUAAUGGUGCAGCCGCUAUUAAGGGUUCGUUUGUUCAACGAUUAAAGUCCUACGUGAUCUGAGUUCAGACCG